This 250-nucleotide ribosomal RNA is filed under the name uncultured prokaryote. Its description in RNAcentral is "partial 16S ribosomal RNA". It matches the Rfam family "Bacterial small subunit ribosomal RNA", at positions 524 to 773 of the family's 1533-position model. The record is from RNAcentral.
UACGGAAGGUCCGGGCGUUAUCCGGAUUUAUUGGGUUUAAAGGGAGCGCAGGAAGGUUAUUAAGCGUGACGUGAAAUGUAGCCGCUCAACGGCUGAACUGCGUCGUGAACUGGUAGUCUUGAGUGAGUACGACGCGGACGGAAUUCGUGGUGUAGCGGUGAAAUGCUUAGAUAUCACGAAGAACUGCGAUUGCGAAGGCAGUCCGCGAGUCCUUUACUGACGCUAAAGCUCGAAGGUGCGGGUAUCGAAC